CCGGCUGGCCAUGAAUAUGUACACAACAACCUCAAGACAGACCUGGAUCAAAUGUGCCAGUACAGUCUUCCCUCAGGUCCGCUAUUGUCCAGAGCACACAUUUAACGUGAUGAACAACGCAAUGGUACAAAAGACACGUGCAUAAUCGAGGGCAUGACCUGAACAUGUGUCAUAUUGUCGUCAGUAUGUGACAUGGCAUGCGGAUUUGUGGAACUGGAAUGUUCUCUACUGUACUAAAUUGUCACGUAAAAACGAGAACUUCCUGCUUUUCCGGUUUCCCCCAUGAUUGCCAAGUCAUUAUUUGAAAUCAAAAUGAAGACGACCUAUUUCGGCCCUGACUGGCGUGUGAAUGGCUAAAGUAGUCAUGAAUCGAGGAGCUGAGGGGGACAUCUCUUCAGGAAUGACCGUUGAGGGAACCGGUUACGCCAGGCUCAUUCCUCCACGGUAAAGACAAGAGGGUGGCUGCGUUGAUAGAAAAGAGGCCUUGUGAAAGUCUGAAUCCACAUGGUACUACUGCAGACUUUGAACAUGUUGUACUUGCGUUACGACAUUGUACCCAGAGUUGGGUUUUAAUUUCCUUUGAAAUCUGAGCUUUGUAAAUGCCAAAAAUGACUACCACAAAUCAUUUCAAAAGGACCGUAUCACGUUCUUGUUUUUUUUUUUUCUAUACAAAAUGUUUCUUGAUAAACAAUUUUCUC
Long non-coding RNA from Carassius gibelio (silver crucian carp), 698 nucleotides. RefSeq lists it as uncharacterized. The record is from RefSeq and is a predicted model, not a curated record. Lineage: Eukaryota; Metazoa; Chordata; Actinopteri; Cypriniformes; Cyprinidae. The transcript has 3 exons.